UAAUGUAAGUGCUGACAUCCCUCAUGCAUUUUUGUCACACCCAUUCCUAACAUCCUAUUAUACUACAGUAAUACAGAUCACGAUGGUGGAGAAUCCAUAACCAAUUCAAAAUAUCUACAUUGGUCCAAUGAAACAUAGAAACUUCAGUUAUUCAAGAGAGUCAAUACAAAGUCCAAUCUCUUGCUUCACAAAAUGAUGCGGAUAUUUCCAUUUCCUCCCGGAAUAAAAUUUACGUAUCCUUAUCAUAA
Long non-coding RNA from Panicum virgatum (switchgrass), 248 nucleotides. RefSeq lists it as uncharacterized. The record is from RefSeq and is a predicted model, not a curated record. Lineage: Eukaryota; Viridiplantae; Streptophyta; Magnoliopsida; Poales; Poaceae. The transcript is spliced from 2 exons.